GUUUAUUCAAUGCUUCACAUUUUCCAAGGAAGCACGUGCUGAGUAGGCACUCCCCCUUUACAAGGAUGGAAUGACUACAUAUAUCUAUAACACGGAAACACUAACAGUGAUGUGAAAGUGGAACCUAAUUGAGGAGAUCUGCUCAUCUAACCGUCCCAUGCCCAGAGAGCUUUUACAAGCCUCCAGUAAGUGAUAAACAAUGCUGUCA
Molecule: long non-coding RNA, 208 nt
Filed under: Gallus gallus (chicken)
Lineage: Eukaryota; Metazoa; Chordata; Aves; Galliformes; Phasianidae
Source: RNAcentral